Molecule: ribosomal RNA, 511 nt
Filed under: uncultured Bacillota bacterium
Lineage: Bacteria; Bacillati; Bacillota
Description: bacterial SSU rRNA
Rfam family: Bacterial small subunit ribosomal RNA
Source: RNAcentral
UAGGGAAUCUUCCGCAAUGGACGAAAGUCUGACGGAGCAACGCCGCGUGAGCGAUGAAGGCCUUCGGGUCGUAAAGCUCUGUUGUUAGGGAAGAACAAGUACCGGAGUAACUGCCGGUACCUUGACGGUACCUAACCAGAAAGCCACGGCUAACUACGUGCCAGCAGCCGCGGUAAUACGUAGGUGGCAAGCGUUGUCCGGAAUUAUUGGGCGUAAAGCGCGCGCAGGCGGUCCUUUAAGUCUGAUGUGAAAGCCCACGGCUCAACCGUGGAGGGUCAUUGGAAACUGGGGGACUUGAGUACAGAAGAGGAAAGCGGAAUUCCACGUGUAGCGGUGAAAUGCGUAGAGAUGUGGAGGAACACCAGUGGCGAAGGCGGCUUUCUGGUCUGUAACUGACGCUGAGGCGCGAAAGCGUGGGGAGCAAACAGGAUUAGAUACCCUGGUAGUCCACGCCGUAAACGAUGAGUGCUAAGUGUUAGAGGGUUUCCGCCCUUUAGUGCUGCAGCUAACG